AACCAGUCCCUUCUAACAAAAAUGCCAAAAGCCAUUAUCUGUACAAUUUAAUACUGUGCAGUAAGUCCUUGGCAAUCCCCAGUAAUCUGCAGCAUUACAUAGUACUGCACCGGACGGGACAUGAGAUAAUACGGAAUGACUUAAUUAGACUUGGGGAUGCCGGCAUAUCGUGACUCUAGGAUCGUGGUGGUGCUGGAGGUGGUGGCCAGUGGCAGUUCUGGUUACACAAGUUCGAGCCCUGGUCUGGGAAGAUCCCACGUGCCGCGGAGCA
This is a long non-coding RNA of Aethalodelphis obliquidens (Pacific white-sided dolphin), 271 nucleotides long. RefSeq lists it as uncharacterized. The record is from RefSeq and is a predicted model, not a curated record. The transcript has 3 exons. Lineage: Eukaryota; Metazoa; Chordata; Mammalia; Artiodactyla; Delphinidae.